Molecule: transfer RNA, 82 nt
Filed under: Veillonellaceae bacterium
Lineage: Bacteria; Bacillati; Bacillota; Negativicutes; Veillonellales; Veillonellaceae
Description: tRNA-Leu
Rfam family: tRNA
About the family: Transfer RNA (tRNA) molecules are approximately 80 nucleotides in length. Their secondary structure includes four short double-helical elements and three loops (D, anti-codon, and T loops).
Source: RNAcentral
GCGGGAGUGGCGGAAUUGGCAGACGCACCAGACUUAGGAUCUGGCGGGUGACCGUGGGGGUUCAAGUCCCUUCCCCGCACCA